RNAcentral lists this ribosomal RNA (72 nucleotides) under Triticum aestivum (bread wheat). RNAcentral's name for it is "partial small subunit ribosomal RNA". The record is from RNAcentral. Lineage: Eukaryota; Viridiplantae; Streptophyta; Magnoliopsida; Poales; Poaceae.
AUGGGGUCCUGUUCAACCACCCCUCGACGGGCUACUGUUCAUCUAGUCCUCCACCGGCUACUGUUCAACUAG